UGAUUUUUAAUGAAUUAUUUUUAAUUUUUUUGGUUUAUAAAUCAUUAAAUUUGAAGAAUCUAUGGUUAAUUACAAUUAAGAUUAUGACAUAUACUUUUUUGAUUGAAUUCGAAACUUUUAUUGCCUGUGUUUGAUGUAUUGUUAAAUUUUUUUCUUUUUUUUGAGUUCUUGAUGUAUUCGAAUCUGUGCUGCCUUCAAUUAUUGAAAUUAUUCUGAUUUUCAUGUGUUAUUUGUGUAUUGUAUUUUGAUUCUGCAAUUGGCAUGACUCAUAUUUUUUUUUUUUUUUUGAGGCUGUAAUUUGGAUGACUCGUAUUAUUGAAAUUAUUCUGAUUUUCAUGACUCGUAUUAUUGUAUUUUAAUCCGUGCUGCAUGACUCGUAAUAUGAUGCUUCAUUCUAUUAGCUGUAUAAUGUGUUCUGGUGAUGGUACUAGUCUGCUGCUCUGUGUCAGCUCCCUGCUGAUGUUUUGCCUUCUGCCUGCUGCUGUUCAGACAGCUAGCACCUGCUGGCUGCCUGUGUUCUGCAGAUGGGUCUUCUGCUGUUUGGAUGCCAUGUUGCUAUUGUGUCUUUGUUGUUUGUGAGCUAUUACAGUUUUGUUUGGAGUGUUGUUGCAGCCUAUGUUGUUGCUUUGUGUUUUUUGUGCUUAUAGGGGACUUAUCUACAUAACCACCAUAUUUAGGUGCACCUAAAUAAACUAAGUAAAGGUUCUUCUUUUGAUAAUGUAUUGAACAAAUUUGAUCUGAAAAACUAAGUAAAAGUUCUGCAGUAGCCUAGUUAAGUCAAAGUUUUGCAGUAGUCGAGUUGAAUGAAAUACAUGUUUUUUUUUUUUUUUUUUGAAAAAGGAAAGUUAAAUUAUAUGUCAAUGUUUUAAAUCUCUCAAUUCGUGCAUUUUUAACUUCUCAUAAAGGUGAUAAAAUGAGUAGUUGGACCAACUUCUUACAAUCUAGUUAUGAGUACGAGAAAGGUGUGGAGGAAUAUUUAGAUAAAGCAUUUUCUACACAAGCAAUUGGAGAUCAAAUUACUUGCCCGUGUAAGGUGUGCUAUCACCGGUUCUGGCAUCGCCGAGAGACGGUGUUCAAUCAUUUGAUUACAAACGGGAUCGAGCCUGGCACCGAAGGAUUGCGUUGUUAUGAAAAGGGUGUGUCAUCAGUCUCAAAUGCAGAGGAGUAUGAUGAAGACAUGGAUGAUGAUAUUGAACGUCUGAUAUAUGAUGUUCAUAGAAAUGUGGCAGAAACUUAUGAAGGGGUUGGAGAUGAGCCCAAUGAUGAUGCUAAGAAGUUCUAUAAGUUAGUUGAGGAUGGAAAACAAGAGUUAUACCCUGGGUGCAAAAAAUUUUCAAAGCUAUCAUUUCUCAUCCGUUUAUACCUUCUAAAGUGUACUCAUGGGUUAACUAAUAAAGCAUUUUCAGAUCAUUUGGAGUUAAUCCGAGAAGUGUUACCAGAAAAAUCUAAAUUGCCUAACUCUUUUAAUGAGGCAAAGAAAUUGAUAAAAGAUUUGGGGCUUCAUUAUGACAAGAUUGAUGCAUGUCGUAAUGAUUGUAUGCUAUAUUGGAAGGAGCAUGAAGCUGCCACGUUCUGCCAUGUUUGUCAUACUCCAAGGUGGAAAGAAACAGAGAUUGAAAACCAAGAAGAUAUUAGCAAUCAAUCACCUAAGAAAGUACCUGCAAAAGUUCUUUGGCAUUUUCCUCUGAAACCAAGGCUUCAAAGGUUGUACAUGUGUUUAGAAACGGCAGAGCUAAUGAGGUAGCAUGAUGAAGAAAGAGAAAGAGAUGAGUUAUUGAGGCAUCCUGCUGAUGGUGAGGCGUGGAAAGAGUUUGACCAAAAGUACCCAGAUUUUGCGAAAGAAGCACGUAAUGUUCAUUUAGGGCUUGCAAGUGAUGGAUUUAAUCCAUUUCGAACGAUGAGGACACAACAUAGUACAUGGCCUGUUGUUUUAAUUAAUUACAACUUACCACCAUGGCUAUGUAUGAAGCCAGAAUUCUUGAUGUUGUCUCUCCUUAUUCCCGGGCCCACUUCUCCUGGGAAUGACAUUGAUGUCUACCUUCAACCAUUGAUUCAGGAACUUAAAGAUCUAUGGGAGUAUGGUUUGGACACUUAUGACGCGGAGAAGAGUCAAACAUUUAAGAUGCAUGCAGCUUUGCAAUCAACAACCAGUGACUUUCCUGGUUAUGCUAUGUUAUCUGGUUGGAGCACCAAAGGGAAGUUUGCAUGCCCUUAUUGUCACUACGAGACUGAUCAUCAUCAUUUGAGUAAUAGUAACAAAUCUUGCUAUUGGGCUCAUCGUCGAUGGUUAGAUGAAAACCAUCCUUGGCGGCAUGAUACGGAGUCCUUUAAUGGGGAAAAGGAAGAGAGGACAUCUCCAAAACCUUUAACAGGGGCUGAAAUUUCAAGCUUGUUGGAAAAAUGGGAAAACAACUUUGGAAAGUUACAACCAAAGAAGAAAUAUGAAGAUUGUCCAUGGAGAAAGUCCUCUAUCUUCCACACUUUGCCAUAUUGGAAAGAUUGUGGGUGUCGUCAUCAUUUAGAUGUUAUGCACAUAGAAAAAAACGUAUGUGAUAAUGUGUUGGGAACUUUGUUAGACAUACCUGGAAAGUCAAAAGACCAUCAUAAAGCUCGAUUAGAUCUCCAAGAAAUGGGUAUAAGGGACAAAACUACAUCCUGUAGAUGCAGGUGAACGGUAUGUUUUGCUGCCCAAAGCAUCAUUCUCAAUGACAAAGGAAGAAAAAGGCAUAUUUUGUAGUGUCUUGAAGAAGGCAAAGCUUCCACAAGGUUGUGCAUCAAAUUUAGCAAGGUGUGUGCAAGUGAGGGAAGGGAAAAUAUCAGGGUACAAAAGUCAUGAUGCUCACAUAAUGAUGCAACACUUGCUUCCGUCAGCAAUUAGGACAACUUUACCAAAGCAUGUUGCAUUACUUCUUAUUAAAUUGAGUGCCUUUUUCCGAGAAAUAUGCAAGAGAGUCAUUAAUCUGAAAGAUUUGGAUCGCCUUCAAGCUAAAAUUGUGGAGACUCUUUGUGAACUUGAGAAAAUAUUUCCACCGUCUUUUUUUGACAUCAUGGUCCACCUGCCGAUUCAUUUAGUUGAUGAAAUAAAGCGUGGUGGACCAGUGUGUGAUUGGUGGAUGUACCCUAUAGAAAGAUACCUUGGAAAGUUAAAAUUGUAUGUGAAAAACCGAUGUCGCCCCGAGGCUUCUAUUGCGGAAGGGUACCUGGAAGAAGAGUGCUUGAUAUUCUGCUCUAGAUAUUUGAAUGCUAGUGUGAAGAAGAAAUCUAAGUGGUAUAACAAAAGUCAGGAGAAAACUGAUGUGAUUGAUGAAGAGUCACCUUUAUUUCCUAAGGUAGGUUAUCCUCUCGGGAGGAAGAAGAAAGGGAAGAAGAAAGAGAAGUCAUAUACUCUUGAUUCCAACACAUUGGCUGUAGCACAUCGUUAUGUGUUGUUUAAUUGUCAAGAUGGCCAAGUUGAGAGUUACAUCAAGGAACAUGAAGAGUUUGUAAAAGAGUGUAAAAAAAAAGUCCAGAGAUCGGCGAAAAAGAAGGUGGAAAGAGGCAAAAGAGCAUAGUAUUGAAUUCAUGGUUUGGUUCAGAGAAAAGGUUGUUCUGGAUAAUGUCUCCGAUCAUAUCAAGUGGCUAGCUAUAGGUCCUUCUAGUAUUGCAAGGAAGUAUACUGGGUAUUUUUGUAAUGGAUAUAAGUUUUACACACGAGCUCAUGAUGAAAAGUGUAAAACUCAAAAUAGUGGAGUCUCUUUGACAGCUUUGACUCCAAGCUUCGCGAGCACCAAGGAUCAUAAUCCUGUUAUGGGUUAUGUCACAUAUUAUGGGAUUAUAAAAUCGAUAAUUGAGAUAGAUUAUUGGAGUUCAUUUAGUGUCGUGUUGUUCAAGUGUGAUUGGUUCCAUGUGGAAGUAGAUGAUUAUGGACUCACUCGUGUGAACUUCAAGAAAUUGUGUUCUAAAGAUGACCCUUUUGUCUUGGCAUCACAAGUGCAUCAAGUGUUCUAUGUUCAAGACGGCCUUGAAGAAGAUUGGCAUUAUGUGAAUCGAAAUUUACCGAGGGGCUUUUUUUAUGCAGAGGGGCAAUAUGAAGAAACGUAUGUGACUGAAGUUCAUGGACCCGAGGAGGAUGUGAUACCAGCUAUAGAUCAUGAUGAGCACCAUAAUUUGCAUAGAGAAGGAGCUUAUGAAAGAGUUGAGGUUCCUGUGAACACUGAAAUGAAUGAUGUUGGUCACGAAGAUAGUUCUGAUAUAGAUGACACGGAUUGGGAUUGGAUGGAACCAUCAAAGUGAAAUGUAUAGGAUCUUUUGAUUAGAAUAAUUAUCCUUGAUUUGAACUUGUUUUAUUGGAUGUAAUGAAUAGAUUUACUGUUUAUGGUCAAGAACAUGGUCGAGGCAUGAUAUGAUAGUGGUAAUUUUUACAUUUGUGCAGUGUUGAGUUGUGUGGUAUCCAGGAGCUUGGGCAGAAGGCAAGUUGCGGCGGAUGUAAAAUAUUCCAAUUUAUAUUUUGGUUCCUUUUGUGUUUAUAUCUGGAUUGGAGCUGUUUGUUGUCACUGCUACUACUAUCACUGUUGCUGCUGUUUGUAUUUUUCCUGAUUCUGAACACUCAUUUCUGAUCACUCUGAUUCUGAUCACUCAUCUAUGCUGAAAUCUCUGAUUCUGAUCCUUUAUAUGCUCUUUAUAUGCUAUUUUUAAGGAUUCUGUUAUGUUAGCUAUUCUGUCAGUCCUUGCCUUUAUAUCUGAUUCUGAUCACUCAUUUGUAACAUGUUAAAAAAAAGCGAGAGUCCUAAAAGUUUCUGAUCACUCAUUCUGAUUCUGAUCACUCAUUUCUCUGACAUGUAUCCCAAUCCUUGUCACUACUACCUUAUUUAUUACCCAAUUUACAGUCCCAAGAGUUCCUUAAACUUAAAAAAACAUACUACUGGUUAUCAUGCCAACCAACUUAAACAAACCAACAGCUUAUUGUCAUUGUUGGUUAUUUAACUUAAUUAAGCAGGCUAAGUAAGAGCAGCUUUGCUUUCUACUCCUUCAUAUGAUCUGCUGGCUUUAAGUAACACUAGGAGACAGCAUGUUGGCCAUUUGAGGCCAACAUUUUAAACAUAAAUAGUCUUGUGUGUUCUUUGUAGGAAGCAAGAUCCAUAUGGCAGAUUAUUUGAAAAUAAGAGAAAAAAGGAUACAAGAAAAUAAGUUAAAAAUGAAUGAGUUGGGGGUUACAUCCAUGGCUUAUAAAAUGACACAGAUGAUGAAGGGAUCAAAACAAACGAAAAAAGGUGAGAAGGUGACAAAAGAUAAUGAUGAAUAUACACCUGAUGAUGAAGAGGGUGAGUUGAACCACUCAAGUGAAGAGGAUGAAAAUCAGAUAAGGAAAAACAUUGUAAACUUGAGGUCUCGUUCAAAGAAGGUGGUUUUUUUUUUCUUUGACAGCUUACUUAUGUUUUGACUAACUAUUGUUGAAAAGAUCAUGUAAUACUUUCAAUGCUUUUAAUGAGUAUAAUUUGAGGUUGAAGCAUUAAAAGAGAAGAUUCCCACAAACACGGAAAGACAACACUUAGAUCAAGGGUUGGAAGGGAGAGAUUCAACACAAAGAAAAAACCAAUUGGGCAAGUCUACUGCACAGAAGAGUCAACAAGAGAAAGAGGUUGAGAUUGGGAAUGGGGUUAAAACUAAGGUACGGCAAAGUAAGGCAAUGGUUGCUCCUGGUUCACUUGGUGCUUACAGGCAAAUGAAAACGCAAUUGAAGGAAAAAGAGAAGAGAUCAAAACAAAGUGAUUUUGCAACAACGACAACUACAACCUGUUAACAUGACUAGGUCACAGCCUGUUAACAUGGCGAGUUCACAAGGUCUUUUAGGGAGUUUGCAAGCACAAAGUUUUUCUCAACCACAAAGACUUGGAUCUCACUUGCAGGAAGAUAAUGAGAAUCAUAUUAGUUCAAAUUACUACAAUUUGGAAUUGUAUGUAGAUGAAGAAGAUGACCUUAGUGAUGGAUUAAGUACUCUUACUCCCGAGAUGCUAGGAAUGCAAGUUGAGCCACCACUGAAUCAAGAGCACUAAAGUGAACAAAUAGCACUUUCAAAAAGGAAGUGGACUAGAGGACCAACUAUGUGUAAAGACGUCCAUGAAUGGACAUUAGAAGAGCGCAAGCCGAUCGUGCUUAAUGAAAUGGGAAAGCCUAUUGGUCCCGAUGAUAAGACUGUAGAUAAAUAUACAAGAUUCUUGGGGACUUUAGCUCAAAAUGCUUCUCUGGCACCGUUGAACAGGAUUAAUUGGCAUCAAGUUCCAGAUAAGGACAAUAUUUGGGAAUAUGUGAAGAAGAAAUUCAUUAUCCCUGAAGAAGGUAAAGACUCUGUUUUGUCAUCCGUGGGAAGGCUUUGGCGUAAAUAUAAGUGCAGUGUAAAGGCAAAGCACUUUACUCCGUACGACAAUGAUGGUGAUAGGUUGGCAGAUUUACCUGAAACAAUUCCAGCAGAGCAUUUCAAAGAAUUACUAGAAUUUUGGAAUUUGAAAGAAGUCUAGGAAGACAGCAAGAAAAAAAAGGAGAUAAGUAAAGGUCAGAUAGAUAGGCACACUAUGGGGCCUAUGACUCUAGCGAGGAAACAAUAUAAAUUGCUACAACAAGAUGUUGAGAAGAAACCACCAUCCUUAGCACUCGUGUACAAAGAAAGUCGUAAAAGGAAACCAGGGAAAAUGUACAAAACAUCUUCUGAGCCCGCCCAAAGUAACAUUGACAAGAUGGAGGAGGUCCAAAUGCAAAGUGAAGUCGAUGGAGAUGUUGCAUACUAUGAAGUGAUGAAUAAACCAAAUAACAUUGGCCAUAAAAGAAAGAAAUCGGGGAUAGGUUCACUAAAGGGAAAGAGCAACAAACCAAUAAUUGCUGAUGAGUUCUUAAAGCCCUAUAAAGACCAGAUUGUGAAAGAAACUGUUGCCGAAUUACUGAAGACGCUCAAGCAACAUCCUGAAGCUUUAGAUACUUUGACUCGAUCACUUGGAAAUGAGUCAUCCAAUCCAGAACUUAGUGAUCAUAUUCCCAAUGUAAACUCUAAUGAUGAGCAAGAGCAAAAUGAGGACCAAGAUGAAGAAUUGGAGUAACAUGUAAGCUCAUCAUUUUUUUUUUGAAAUUCUAUUUAUUUAUUUUCUCACAAUUUAUACUUGUUCUUUUUGGAGUGUAUGAGCACUUUAUUAACAUAUAUAUUUGGAUACAUUUGCACAGACUUUGACAGAGGUUCGGGCUCUGAGUUCCACUGAUUUGAAAAUAGUUAGAAGCUUCCCUGUGUUAUUUUCAUUUUUCUGAUUUAUAAUUAGUACACUUUAUUAACAUAUAUAUGGUAUCGAGCGUAAGUAUAAUGCUGUUUGACGUGUUUGUGCCGUUUUCUGUUGAUAGUAUCUGCUGCUUGCUGCCCCUGCUGCUGUCCUGUGCUGAUAUGCUGCCGUCUGUGCUGAUCUGCUGCUGUCUGUGGUGAUCUACUGCUGUCUGCUGUCUUUUUUUUUUUUUUUGGGAAUCCGGAGUUCUAAAGACCAAAGUUCAUUUUCUUAUGGUUUUGAUUUUACUAGAUUGUCAGCUCAAACAAAAAUAUUGGUGUUUAUGGAUUUUUUUGUCAGAAUUAUAUAUGAAAUAAUUUCAAUUCAAAUUAUAUAUUGUCUAUCGCAUA
This is an RNA transcript of Chenopodium quinoa (quinoa), 7627 nucleotides long. RefSeq lists it as uncharacterized. The transcript is spliced from 8 exons. NCBI's taxonomy places the organism in Eukaryota, Viridiplantae, Streptophyta, Magnoliopsida, Caryophyllales, Amaranthaceae. The record is from RefSeq and is a predicted model, not a curated record.